AAGACUAUAGACCUGCGGAGUACCUGCGGAAGGAUCAUUACAGAGUUUACAACUCCCAAACCCACUGUGAACCUUACAGCGUCGUUGCCUCGGCGGACCGCCCCCGGCGCGGCCCCCCUCGGGGGGGCGCCCGGGACCACGGCGCCCGCCGGAGGACCCAAACUCUUGUAUUUGCAGGAUGCAUUGCUCUGAGUGAAAACAAGCAAAUGAAUCAAAACUUUCAACAACGGAUCUCUAGAU
This 240-nucleotide unclassified non-coding RNA is filed under the name soil metagenome. Its description in RNAcentral is "partial contains 5.8S ribosomal RNA, internal transcribed spacer 2, and large subunit ribosomal RNA". The record is from RNAcentral.